This 465-nucleotide ribosomal RNA is filed under the name uncultured bacterium. RNAcentral's name for it is "bacterial SSU rRNA". It matches the Rfam family "Bacterial small subunit ribosomal RNA", at positions 30 to 490 of the family's 1533-position model. The record is from RNAcentral.
AUUGAACGCUGGCGGCAUGCCUUACACAUGCAAGUCGAACGGCAGCACGGGAGCAAUCCUGGUGGCGAGUGGCGAACGGGUGAGUAAUAUAUCGGAACGUGCCCAGUCGUGGGGAUAACGUAGCGAAAGCUACGCUAAUACCGCAUACGAUCUAUGGAUGAAAGCGGGGGAUCGCAAGACCUCGCGCGAUUGGAGCGGCCGAUAUCAGAUUAGGUAGUUGGUGAGGUAAAGGCUCACCAAGCCGACGAUCUGUAGCUGGUCUGAGAGGACGACCAGCCACACUGGGACUGAGACACGGCCCAGACUCCUACGGGAGGCAGCAGUGGGGAAUUUUGGGACAAUGGGCGCAAGCCUGAUCCAGCAAUGCCGCGUGCAGGAUGAAGGCCUUCGGUUGUAACUGCUUUGUUACGGAACGAAACGGUGAGCUCUAAUACAGUUGUCUAAUGACGGUACCGUAAGAAUAAG